AAUAAAAUGGCUGAGGUUAAGCGAUAAAUUGUAAAUUUAUUUACGAGAAGUUUCUCUUUUAUUA
RNAcentral lists this transfer RNA (64 nucleotides) under Platyptilia sp. DM741. RNAcentral describes it as "tRNA-Tyr". It matches the Rfam family "tRNA". Rfam says of the family: Transfer RNA (tRNA) molecules are approximately 80 nucleotides in length. Their secondary structure includes four short double-helical elements and three loops (D, anti-codon, and T loops). Lineage: Eukaryota; Metazoa; Arthropoda; Insecta; Lepidoptera; Pterophoridae. The record is from RNAcentral.